GAGAGAAUAUCUAAGCGGCUUAACGCAGCUGGUUGUAACCCGGCUCCCUUAUGGGUUCGUCGGUUCGAAUCGGUCUCUUCUCACCA
This 86-nucleotide transfer RNA is filed under the name Paenibacillus sp. Soil766. Its description in RNAcentral is "tRNA-Tyr". The record is from RNAcentral. Lineage: Bacteria; Bacillati; Bacillota; Bacilli; Caryophanales; Paenibacillaceae.